Molecule: long non-coding RNA, 2434 nt
Organism: Grus americana (Whooping crane)
Lineage: Eukaryota; Metazoa; Chordata; Aves; Gruiformes; Gruidae
Exons: 5
Source: RefSeq, a predicted model, not a curated record
CAGGAGGCUGUGAGGUUUGCACUCAGCUCCAUGAAGAGCAUCUCUAGGAUGAAGCUAGACCAAGAAAUAAAUUUGAGAAAUGCAUUGCUGAAGAAGUCAAAGGACCCAUAUUCCCAUCUUGUCCUGAGGCCCUGAAAGCUCUUAAUCAAGGAAUUAAUUUAAUUUUGAACUUUGCUGAUUGGCUGUUUUUACACAUGGCCAAUAUAGGCACUUCAGAGCUUUCAACUUUGCUGGAAAUAGAGCAGGACUGCUGGAAACUUGGAAGAUCUGUUUUCUUCUUCAAGAACCAUGAACCUAUUCUCCAAUGUGCUGUGCCGUUACUUGUAUGGAUCUACAGCAAGUGCAGUAGGCCUUCAGUCUGGAGUGACAGAAUUUUACCUGCCAUGUGUCAGAGCUGGUGCCCCAAAACAGGCAGGACUGUGAAGGAUCAGUCUCUUCAGUAUUAAUCUCUUGGGGUACCAUCCUGUUGCAACCACAAGUCAUGACCUACAGCUAGCAAAGCCGAAAUGACAGCGUGUCUUCCAUGCAAGAAGAGCCUGCAGAGUGAUUACAGUCAAGUUCUGGCUGGAGGCACCCUGGGGCUGGCUGCUGCUUUAUUUUGCUAAGUGGCAGGGACAGGAGACCCCAUUCACCGAUGAGAAAGCAUGCCUGUGUGUACGCUGCCCUCCCUGAAGGCAGUCAGAGGACGUGGCGGCGGAUGCAGAGCUCUUCCAGGAGGAAACUGCCAGCAGCUGUAGCCCGAGGGCAGUGGAUGCUUCUGUCCAUGACUCUGCUUUUUUCUCUUCUCCCCCUUUCAUGUCCUCCCCUUCUCUCCCACUCUUACCUGCACCUGCCAAAGCCAACAGCAUAAAGCCAGUAAGUGAAGUCCUGGGACAGAAGGCCUGUGUUUGGUACAUUGGGUCAUAUGAGGGAGAGGCUGAAGCUAGAGAAGAUGCCAUUCCCAUGUCAACUCCUCUGCACCCCGAGCAGCACAGCACGGAGCAGGCUGGCAGUUGCACCUGGCACAUGAGGAUUGCCAAGGAGGCAAGAUGCUGUGGCACUACUCUGCAAACUCAUGAGAUGCAGGACUCACCAAGGGACAGGAACUGUGCUGAGGUUCUUGGCCUGAGAUGCUGGACUACCAUCAAACUACCAUAAGUGCAUCUGAAGAACUGCACUAUGCAAUGCAGUAUACCCUGAAAGAUCAAGAUUCUCCAGCCCUUUACCCAGCAAGGUCCACAUCCUUGGCCUCAGCCCAGCAGCCAUGCAUUGCUCUGACUCCACAAAGCACCCAGAAGAUUGCUCCAAACAAGUGGCUGCAAACCUCUUGGCAUGGCCCAGGUGCUACACUGUCUUCUCCUUUGCAUAGACGGCAGGAGAGCAGCCAUCAUAAAUAUUCUCACCAGGGACCUUGUAGAGCCUCAGGAUCAGCAGACAUAAAGAGAGUGUCUUGAAUCAAAUCAGCAUCUCAUACAAGUGACAAAGAUAAAUCAACAACAGAAUCUGAUAGACUGUAAUAAUUGUCAAGCUCCUGCUUCAGAAACAAUCGCACAUCCUGCUUCCCACCACAAAACAGCCUGCCGGUGGCACAUGUAUAUUCUUUCCCAUUUUUCCAAAUUUUCAACAAUAUUCCUGCUUCCAACUAAAACUCCAUUAGUCUUCAAAAGCUAUUGCUGACUUGUGUGUUAUGACACAAUUUUCUGCUUACAACACAGUACGAGACGGCAAUGUUUCAAAGAUCACCGGGAUUGUUUACAAGUGUUAAGUGUCUGGGAAGAAGAGGAAGACAGAUCAAAAGUGAGACCUUUUUAUGUCUAGACAUUUCUGCAUGAAUAAACAUCGUUAUGGUGACGUGCACAUCUGCAUGAAGGGUAAAUUCCAUAUGAUUGUAUCCACACAGGGCAAAAUUCAUCUCGUCUGAACUUGUCCAAAGGUCUUUGCAUAGGUUUAACCUGUCUAAAUGCCAACAAGUACAACAAGCUUGUUUGGCUGCUCUUAGCAUGAAGGGAGAGCCUGGAAAACUUGAAACUAUUAAGAAUAUAAAUAAGAAUAAAAGAGGGAAAUGAGGGCAAAGCUUUCCAGUAAAAUAACAGGAAUCAUAACAAAAUGAAAAUACUGUUUUCAGUAGUAUUUUGUUGUUAUAUUUACUUGCCCUUAUGUUACACCCUCUCAUUGGUGCCAAAGCAGUAAAGCUGGGAAAACAUUCACAUUUUGAGUACAAUGGAAGGUUUUCACUCACGUGGUAAAAUAAGGUCUUUCAUCAUUGAUGUUAAUUAUAUUUAUAUUCACUGUUUUAGUCGAGUUGAGUCCUUCUGGAUCUGUCACUGUUACAUUUAAAAAGUAACUGUUAAAUAAGAAAACAAAACAAGAAUCAUUCUGUGGCUAUGUAGAAAAACAUUUCUCUGCCUACUGUAAGCUAAUAGACCACAAGAAUAAAAUACAUCCUCACCAAUGU